AUAGCAAAGGGCAGACAACUAACUUACGACUCCACAACAUGUCCUACCACAAAAACUGCGCGAUUGCGUUCCUAACUGAGACUUUACACCACCUGAAGCAACAGGCGCAUGGUGAAGGGACUUCGUCACCUGGAGAAGAUUCUGAAAUGGGUAUCACACAUUGCAGUCAGCGGCUUACACAUGCACCACCUGAGGAGCAAAGUCAACAAACCUCAACUACCCUCACCACCGAUGAAACCCAGAAAGCACAGGAAAUACAGCAUGAAAAGGAAAAAUUGAAGCAGGAGAACAUGAGACUUCAGAAAAUACUAGAAGAUAUGCAGGCUUCUUUUGGGCAACAACGGAAUGAAUACGACAAGUUAAUGCAGGAGAACAGCAGACUUCAAAAAAGCCUUCAAGACAUGCAGGUUUCUCUUGAACAACAGUAGGUACCAACGAACAACAGGGACAGUCAUGAACAAUCAGCUGGUUCGAUUCCCGACAUCGCCAGUUGGGUGGGAGAAGUGAUCAACCAUCCUUAUCCCCAAUCGUAUGCCAUGAUGACUGAGGUACCUUGAGCAUGUCAGCGUGCCUGCAAAACGUCACAGAAUGAAAGCACAAGACUUCAGAGCAGUAUAAUUAAGAUGGAGGAUUCUUUUCAGAAAGAAAGACAAAAACUAAUGGUUGAGCUUGGAAAUAUAAGUGAAGAGAACGUUAAACUCCAACAAAGAAUGAUGAAUAUGGAUAGUCAUUAUACCCAGCUGCAAGAAUGUAAUGGUAUAAAAAAUCAGGAGUACAGCGACCUCCAGAAAAGCCUUAGAGAAAUGGACAUGCACUACAAAGAACAACUCCGCAAAUCCAAUGAUGAAUGCAAGAGUCUCAAAUCUAAGUGCUUUGACCUCAACCAAAGAAUGGCAGCAAAGAUAUCUCUAGACCUGCAGAGUAGUGGAGUUGGAUUCGAGGAUGUCUCAGACCCAUGCAAUGAAUCCAGCCUACGAGGAAUGUAUGAUGACAUGCGCUUGAAGGACUGGCCAAAACUUAAGAGAAAAUUUGCAAUAACAAAUGAAAGACAACGACAGCAAUUUUAUGGCAAUCUUAUUCAAACUUGGAAGGAAAUAUUUGACAAGGCAAAUGACUGCAUGGAAAAGAGUAAGCAAGACCUGAAAAAGCUUUUUCUACAGGACCAACACCAAACCAACAAGGAGAAGGUGCUGUUAUCUCUCUCUCUCUCUCUCCAAUGUCUUGCCCCAUGGACAAAUGUCUCAAUUGUCUAAGUCUAGUUCAAAAGUAGGCUUACGAAGAUCUUUUUACUUGAAACUAUGAAAAAUAACCUUGCUCAGAUUUCAUCUUUUGCAGUGCAUACAUCAGUUUUCUCCAAUGUUGUGUUAAUUUUUUGGGUUUCAGGUCCUGCAAAACCUUAUUGCAGCUACCCACAGUCUUCAGGUUGUGUUUUCGCUCAAAUCUGACCACCAUUACCAACAUAUUGUGUCUCCCACUCUUCAGAGUCUACCAAUUGCAGGAGGCUGUCCUGAACAGGUGUUGCUAACUGAGCUGGCAGCUAACUACUACAAGCUAAUAUGCUUGAUGCUCCUCCACAAUCCACCAAUGCAGCCGGACUGGCAGCAGGCGGAGAGACCCCACCUACGCACUGAGGAAAGGAUGUUCCCGCCCAUGAAGCUGGUUGAUGGAGUCAAGUCCCACUCUGCUGCCCAAGGCCUGUGUGAUUGAUUAAUGCUUGCAGUAUUUCUCAAAGUGGGGCGGAAGCCCCCCUAGGGGGGCGCGAAGGUAUUGGAGGGGGGGCGCGUGAAGUCAGAAGGUUUUUCUUUUUUAAUACUUUUCUGCUUUGCCAUUAAAUCAACACAUUCACUUUACAAUCACAAUAUAUUAAUUAAUUUAUUCAUUAAUAUUUAGAGUAAUAAGUAAUAAUAUUUAAUAUUUAUCAUUGGCCAUAUACGUGUAUAUUAAGCUCUAAUAAACUUCACGAAGGCCUAUUUAUUUGUAUUUUCGUAACCAUUUUGAUCGAGGGGGGCGCAGACAGACACCCUUCCUCUGAAGGGGGGAAAGGCACGAAAAGUUUGAGAAACACUGGAUUAAUGGAUUACCUGCCAGUGUCAUACGUAUGAUAUGACAUUGUCAUAAUAGUGUCAUAACUCAGUCAUGGGCCUGUCAUAAACAUGAUGCAAAUGUCAAAAACAUAUUAUGACAGUGAUGUAUGGCAUUGACAUAAUGGUUAUGACUCAUCUUUGACUGUGUCAUGACACUGUUUUGGCACCCUUAUGACAAUGCCAUGUCAUACGUAUGAUGCUGACGUCAAGUAAAGUGUUACAGACUGUUUUUUUUUUUGUCUGUUGUCUCCUUUCAAUAGUCGAUUAUGUUAGACAAAACCUUAAGCAGGGAUUGCGUAGCCUUUCAUGGAUUAAACCUCAGGAACUGAACAUGCUUUUAUAGUCGAUUAUUGUCAAGCUUGUAUGAGCUUCCUGACUAUACCAUAGUGUAUAGUCACCUUCCUUUACACAUGUUGUCUUACCUUCAACUUUAAAUCUAAAUGUACAGCAUUUAUUUCCAAAGUUGACUGUUUCCAAUUAAAAACACUCAACACAGAUAUGUGUAGUGUAUUGUAGUGUUUUUACAUUUGUAUAUCAAAGUGGGUUAAUAGCAAGUUCAUGUCCACCAACCACUAUAACAGACCCAUCACCAUUUAUAGACUAGAGUAAACAAACUGAUCUGAAAGAGUGAAAUGCAAAUGAAUGGUGUAUCAAUUAAAUGGUCAUCAUGAAUGUGGUUGGUGUGCUGUAAGUAGGAUGGUCUAAGGACAGUGAGAGGCCUGAGAAGGACAUGAAAAGGAAUACACCCACCAUUUAGGCUGGUGAAAUCAUGUCCAAGAUAGGAAUUAACACUGUUUUUUAUAUAAAAAUCAUCUCAUCGGUUAAUGUAUUUAACUGUUAAGUGUUGUCUUUUGUUUUGUUUUGAGUCUUCCUCUACAUUUGCUGCCUUUUAUUGUCCCCGUCCCUCUCUCAACUCCCCCUCUCAACUCUUUUGAGACGUGUUGCAUUUAUCAAAUUAGAAAUGAGUACAUAUGUCCCCCAAAACAAUAUUUUUUCCCGGUUUUAACACUUAAUAUGUUGUCUUUUCACUCUUCUCCAUCUAAUGAAUAGAUUGAAUGUUUUGAAAAUGAUAGCAUUUUGAUUUUAUUCACUGUUUACCAAACGUCCCAACUUCACCGGAGUUGGGGUUUGUACAAAAAAACUAACUAACCCUUCUUUGCAUCUGCACUGGUUGUUCUGUAUAUUCCCUGUGCACUUUGUAUCUGCUAGUGAUGUUGGCUGUGAUUAUGUAAGUUUUGUAAGUCACUUUGGAUAUAAAGUGUCUGACAAAUGUAAAGUAAUGCAAUGUAAUGUAAUGUAAUAAAACUUCCUGAAAAAGUCACUCAUGCAGCACAUCCAUCAAUCAGAAUAAAGAUGAUAGUCAGAUUGAUUUGUUUUCAUUAAUUAAUACAUUUGCUGUAUAUAUUUAUAUAUCUAAAAAGUAAAAAGUUUCUGUUAAAUUGUUGGGUUCAUGACCUAUUAUACCAAAAGGUUUGUCAUAAUGAGUGACAACAAUAGAAAUGAAAAACAAUUGUAUGCAGUAUACUGUGACUUUUGCCCUAAGAAAAACUUCACUUAGGCCUAUAUUGCAUUAAAAUAGCAUCUGACAAGCAAGAGCUGAUGAUUAGCUCCUGAUGUGUCUAUAUCAUUUCUUCGUGGCGGUGUUGAUGUCCAGGCGUAUCGGCAGCCCAUCUGCAUCCCACUGGAUCUGCAGGGGAGGGUGGUGCAGCGCCACCAAGCAGCUCAGCCUGUACCACUUUACCAGCACCACAGCAACCUCU
Molecule: RNA transcript, 3844 nt
Organism: Engraulis encrasicolus (European anchovy)
Lineage: Eukaryota; Metazoa; Chordata; Actinopteri; Clupeiformes; Engraulidae
Gene name: coiled-coil domain-containing protein 171-like
Exons: 17
Source: RefSeq, a predicted model, not a curated record